AGAGCGAACGCUGGCGGCAGGCCUAACACAUGCAAGUCGAGCGCCCAGUAAUGGGAGCGGCAGACGGGAUAGUAACACGUGGGAACGUACCUUUCAGUUCGGAACAACCCAGGGAAACUUGGGCUAAUACCGAAUACGCCCGUAAGGGGAAAGAUUUAUCGCUGAAAGAUCGGCCCGCGUCUGAUUAGCUAGUUGGUGGGGUAAUGGCCCACCAAGGCGACGAUCAGUAGCUGGUCUGAGAGGAUGAUCAGCAUCACUGGGACUGAGACACGGCCCAGACUCCUACGGGAGGCAGCAGUGGGGAAUAUUGGACAAUGGGCGCAAGCCUGAUCCAGCCAUGCCGCGUGGAUGAUGAAGGCCCUAGGGUUGUAAAGUCCUUUCGGCGGGGAAGAUAAUGACGGUACCCGCAGAAGAAGCCCCGGCUAACUUCGUGCCAGCAGCCGC
This 444-nucleotide ribosomal RNA is filed under the name uncultured bacterium. RNAcentral describes it as "SSU rRNA". It matches the Rfam family "Bacterial small subunit ribosomal RNA", at positions 26 to 518 of the family's 1533-position model. The record is from RNAcentral.